RNAcentral lists this long non-coding RNA (212 nucleotides) under Nicotiana benthamiana. RNAcentral's name for it is "long non-coding RNA (NBEN_LNC024884)". The record is from RNAcentral. Lineage: Eukaryota; Viridiplantae; Streptophyta; Magnoliopsida; Solanales; Solanaceae.
CUCUAUUCUUUCGCAAAUGGCGAAAAGACGCACUUCUUCAUCUACCAUUCAGUAGGCCAAGCCUCCAGCCACAGCUCCCACUAGGGGUAGAGGGCGAGGCCGAGGCAUGCCAGAGGCCGAGGUUGGGGAAGAGCUCAUCCCCGAGCAGCAACAUCAGUGGUGGAGCCUCAUGUUGAUUUUAAGGAGGAGGUUCCAGUCCUAGCAGUUCCACU